UUAAGUUCAGCGGGUAGUCCUACCUGAUUUGAGAUCAAACAUUCAAAGGGCUGUCCUCACUGAGGAGAGACGUCUAUGAGCUCCAGUGAACCUUCACUGCUGAAGGUUACCUGGUGGAAAAACCACAAGCGUAGAUAGUUAUCACACCCAUGAUACCCACCAAACACCGGUAAGCUGAUUUAUUUUAGAGGAGCCGGCUG
This 200-nucleotide unclassified non-coding RNA is filed under the name Tomentella sp. RNAcentral's name for it is "partial internal transcribed spacer 2". Lineage: Eukaryota; Fungi; Basidiomycota; Agaricomycetes; Thelephorales; Thelephoraceae. The record is from RNAcentral.